Homo sapiens (human) is the source of this 1701-nucleotide long non-coding RNA. RefSeq lists it as uncharacterized. NCBI's taxonomy places the organism in Eukaryota, Metazoa, Chordata, Mammalia, Primates, Hominidae. The transcript is spliced from 3 exons. The record is from RefSeq and is a predicted model, not a curated record.
GGCUGAUCUUGAGCGCCUGACCUCAAGCAGUCCUCCUGCCUCAGCCUCCCGAGUAGCUGAGAUCACAGGUGCAUGCCACUGCGCCCAGCUUGACAUUGAUUCUAUGAUAACAGCAGCCCGUGGAAUGGUGGAAGCAGCCAGACACACUUGGGAAUUACCUUGGCCUCUGGGACUCCCAACUCCCGAGAGAGUGGCAGACACCAGGAUAUGGCGGUGUUGCCCAGGGCUGAGCCUUGAGGUAAAGUAGGGAUCCCACUCCUCCCCCACACAGCAUGGGCAGCCUUGGGGCCUCAUGCAAGACGGGCCCGGCACCAGCCCCUACCGGGUUGCAAAAGCAGUGCAAAGGCCCAAAGAAAGGUGAGUAAUGGAGGGAGGGAGAGCCACGUGGGUCAGGGGGGCUCCAAGAUCCCUGGACUGCCAGUGCUGGGUGGAGCAGGGAGAUGCCUUCACCUACCCAAACCUCAAAUCACAUGGAUGGGAAGAUACAGGCCCAAGCUGUCCCAGUGCACAACCCUCGCAGCUCACACACUAUGUCAGCUUCCCUUCUCUCCCUCCCUUCCUUGUGCAGGGCAGGGCUACUUUAGGGCUGAGGCAGGGAGGCUCAGAGAGGUGCAGAGACUUGCCCCAGCCACAUGGCUGGCAGUGCGCCUCUGAUCAGCACUUCCUCUGUGCCAGGCUUCCACCUCCUUCAUCUUCUUUAAUCCUUGCAACAACCUUUCAAGGUGGGAGUGAUUUGUUUUUUGUUUUGUGUGUGUGUGUGUGUGUUUUUUUUUUAGACAGAGUCUUGCUCUGUCGCCCAGGCUGGAGUGCAGUGGCACGAUCUCCGCUCACUACAACCUCUACCUCCUGGGUUCAAGUGAUUCUCCUGCCUUAACUUCCUGAGUAGCUGGGACUACAGGCACAUGCCACUGCGCCCGGCUAAUUUUUGUACUUUUAGUAGAGACGGGGUUUCACCGUGUUAGGGUCUCGAACUCCUGACUUCAGGUGAUCCGCCUGCCUCGGCCUCCCAAAGUACUGGGAUUACAGGUGUGAGCCACCGCACCCGGCCGGUGGGAGUGAUUUUGCCCAUUUUACAGAUGAGGAAGCUGAGGCUCAGAAAGGUGAAGCUGAUUACUCUCGCAUGCAGGGAGUGGGACUCGCAUAGAACCUUUAUUCAUUUGCUCACAAAGAAGCAGCUCAAGCAGACAAGCAGGUGCCCGGGAAGGACCCUGUGGCUGGAGAUGCUGGAGGAAAGGCCUGCAGAGAAACUGCUGUCCUUCAGGGCCUGUCCCAGGGGACACCAGUCCUGCCGACACCUCAAGCCACACACUCAGGGGCUCAACGUGCAGUCAGGAGCUCCCCGAGGUGACUGCAGGGUGGCCAAUGCCCCUUGCCACUCUCCUACCACUUUCCCCCACUCCAGUCCUGCCUCAGCUUCACCAGAGCCCCCAGGAUCCGUGUCCCCUGCACCCUGCAUGACUGGACGCCUGGGUCAUAUCACACCACAGUUUGCCACACCUGACUGCACGGCGCCCCUGGCCAGCCAAGCUGGUCAACACCUCCAGGACAGCGGCCAAGGCAGUGGAACCCAGCAGAGGUGGAGGAGAAGGUAGGACCAGCAGACCCUCCUGACCCUGUUCUGAUCGCACUCACUUACAAGGCCAUCUGCUCGGCAGUGCGGCGAGCUCAGGGCACUGGGGCAGACAGUGGCACCCGCCCAGA